AAUAUUUGACUAUGGGCGAAAGCCUGAUCCAGCCAAGCCGCGCGUGUGAAGAAGGGCCUCGGGUUGUAAAGAACUAUAAGUUGGGGGGAAGGGUAGUAAGUCAAUACCAUGCUGGUUUGACGGUACCGUAAGAAUAAGCACCGGCUAACUUAGUGCCAGCAGCCGCGGUAAUACGAAGGGUGCAAGCGUUAAUCGGAAUUACUGGGCGUAAAGCGAGCGUAGGUGGUUUGUUAAGUUGGAAGUGAAAGCCCCGGGCUCAACCUGGGAACUGCUUUCAAAACUGGCAAGCUAUAGUAUGGCAGAGGGUGGUGGAAUUUCCUGUGUGGCGGUGAAAUGCGUAGAUAUAGGAAGGAACACCAGUGGCGAAGGCGACCACCUAGGCUAAUACUGACACUGAGGUGCGAAAGCGUGGGGAGCAAACA
Molecule: ribosomal RNA, 422 nt
Filed under: uncultured bacterium
Lineage: Bacteria
Description: partial 16S ribosomal RNA
Rfam family: Bacterial small subunit ribosomal RNA
Source: RNAcentral